UAAGAGGUCCAGCCUGCCCGGUGACAAAGUUUAACGGCCGCGGUACCCUAACCGUGCGAAGGUAGCAUAAUCACUUGUUCUUUAAAUAGGGACUAGUAUCAACGGCAUCACGAGGGUUACACUGUCUCCUUUCUCCAAUCAGUGAAACUGAUCUCCUCGUGAAGAAGCGAGGAUAAGAAUAUUAGACGAGAAGACCCCAUGGAGCUUUAAGCUAAACAACAACUCCAAUACAAGCAAUCCUUUAUAAACUACGAGCCCUGUUUGUUAGCUUUAGGUUGGGGUGACCGCGGAGUAUAAUAAAACCUCCACGACAAACGGGUUUCUAACCCUAAUCCAAGAGCCACAGCUCUAAGAAUCAUUAAUUUGAUGUUUAAUGAUCCGAUCUUCGAUCAACGGACCAAGUUACCCUGGGGAUAACAGCGCAAUCCAUUUCUAGAGCCCCUAU
This 445-nucleotide ribosomal RNA is filed under the name Amietia fuscigula (dark-throated river frog). Its description in RNAcentral is "partial 16S ribosomal RNA". It matches the Rfam family "Bacterial large subunit ribosomal RNA", at positions 1846 to 2505 of the family's 2925-position model. The record is from RNAcentral. Lineage: Eukaryota; Metazoa; Chordata; Amphibia; Anura; Pyxicephalidae.